CCUACGGGAGGCAGCAGUGAGGAAUAUUGGUCAAUGGCCGCAGGGCUGAACCAGCCAAGUCGCGUGCGGGAUGACGGUCCUAUGGAUUGUAAACCUCUUUUGUCAGGGAGCAAAGGGCGCCACGUGUGGCGUUUUGCGAGUACCUGAAGAAAAAGCAUCGGCUAACUCCGUGCCAGCAGCCGCGGUAAUACGGAGGAUGCGAGCGUUAGCCGGAUUUCUUGGGUUUAAAGGGUGCGCAGGCGGAAUGUCAAGUCAGCGGUAAAAUGUCGGGGCUCAACCCCGUCGUGCCGUUGAAACUGGCAGUCUUGAGUGAGCGAGAAGUAUGCGGAAUGCGUGGUGUAGCGGUGAAAUGCAUAGAUAUCACGCAGAACUCUGAUUGCGAAGGCAGCAUACCGGCGCUCAACUGACGCUCAUGCACGAAAGCGUGGGUAUCGAACAGGAUUAGAUACCCCUGUAGUC
RNAcentral lists this ribosomal RNA (459 nucleotides) under uncultured bacterium. RNAcentral's name for it is "partial 16S ribosomal RNA". It matches the Rfam family "Bacterial small subunit ribosomal RNA", at positions 338 to 795 of the family's 1533-position model. The record is from RNAcentral.